UACGUAGGGUGCAAGCGUUGUCCGGAAUUAUUGGGCGUAAAGAGCUCGUAGGCGGUCUGUCGCGUCGAAUGUGAAAACCCGGGGCUCAACUCCGGGCUUGCAUUCGAUACGGGCAGGCUAGAGUUCGGUAGGGGAGUCUGGAAUUCCUGGUGUAGCGGUGAAAUGCGCAGAUAUCAGGAGGAACACCGGUGGCGAAGGCGGGACUCUGGGCCGAUACUGACGCUGAGGAGCGAAAGCAUGGGUAGCGAACAGG
Molecule: ribosomal RNA, 253 nt
Filed under: uncultured bacterium
Lineage: Bacteria
Description: partial 16S ribosomal RNA
Rfam family: Bacterial small subunit ribosomal RNA
Source: RNAcentral